CCCCAGCGCCACAAGUGGUAACCACAAUUAUUUGGCCUAAAGCGUCCGUAGCCGGUCUUGUAAAUUCUUUGUGAAAUCAUCAUGCUUAACAUGAUGGCGUGCAGGGGACACUGCAAGACUAGGGACCGGGAGGAGUCGGGGGUAUUCCAGGGGUAGCGGUAAAAUGUUAUAAUCCUCGGAGGACCACCUGUGCCGAAGGCGCCCGACUAGAACGGAUUCGACGGUGAGGGACGAAAGCCAGGGGAGCGAACCGG
RNAcentral lists this ribosomal RNA (254 nucleotides) under uncultured bacterium. Its description in RNAcentral is "partial 16S ribosomal RNA". It matches the Rfam family "Archaeal small subunit ribosomal RNA", at positions 474 to 727 of the family's 1478-position model. The record is from RNAcentral.